CCCUUAGAUGUUCUGGGCCGCACGCGCGCUACACUGUUCGACGCAGCGAGUCUUAACCUUGACCGAAAGGUUUGGGUAAUCUUCAGCAAAGUCGAACGUGAUGGGGAUCGAUCAUUGCAAUUAUUAAUCGUGAACGAGGAAUUCCUAGUAAGUGCAAGUCAUCAGCUUGCGCUGAUUACGUCCCUGCCCUUUGUACACACCGCCCGUCGCUACUACCGAUUGAAUGGUUUAGUGAGAUCUCUGGAUUGACGCUGGCUAGGGGGCGACCCUUGGCCAGACUGUUGAGAAACUGCUCAAACUUGAUCAUUUAGAGGAAGUAAAAGUCGUAACA
Molecule: ribosomal RNA, 331 nt
Filed under: uncultured eukaryote
Lineage: Eukaryota
Description: partial 18S ribosomal RNA
Rfam family: Eukaryotic small subunit ribosomal RNA
Source: RNAcentral